CUUGGUUUUUGUAGGCUAGGCUCGCUCUAGGAGUGGCCUCUUUAGGAUCAGUUAAUUUUUACCAUCCCCAUCUGGAGCUGCGGGGAGGAGGUCGGAUUCACUGGCCGGAAGGGUGGGAUAUCUCCCUUUCAUGGAACAUGAGGUGAGAAAGAGACUGUACUUCACCACUUAAAAUAUCAUGCCUGUACUUCUCUGGUGGCGCAGUGGUUAAGAAUCCUCCUGCCAAUGCAGGGGACACAGAUUUGAGCCCUGGUCUGAGAAGAUCCCGCAUGCCAUGGAGCAACUAAGGCAUGUAGAUCUGGACUAUGUAUCUUUGGUGAACUUUAUGUAACUUGUCAUUGUGUCAUUUUGAUGAAUGAUCCUUUGUCUUGAAAAUGUAUAUAACUGUAUCACAGACCUCUAACAAGCAGAACAGUCCUCAGAGUUUUCUGAAAAACUGUCUCCCAGGUUAUAGUCCUUAUGUGGCCUGAAUAAAAUUCUCUUUUUCUUCUUUA
Long non-coding RNA from Balaenoptera ricei (Rice's whale), 494 nucleotides. RefSeq lists it as uncharacterized. Lineage: Eukaryota; Metazoa; Chordata; Mammalia; Artiodactyla; Balaenopteridae. The record is from RefSeq and is a predicted model, not a curated record. The transcript is spliced from 2 exons.